GGACUACCGGGGUUUCUAAUCCCGUUUGCUCCCCUGGCUUUCGCGCCUCAGCGUCAGAAGAGGUCCAGCGGAUCGCUUUCGCCACCGGCGUUCCUUCCGAUAUCAACGCAUUUCACCGCUCCACCGGAAGUUCCAUCCGCCCCUACCUCCCUCAAGGCUCCCAGUAUCCAAGGCACUUUUCCGGUUGGGCCGAAAGAUUUCACCCCGGACUUGGGAACCCGCCUACGCGCCCUUUAAGCCCAGUGAUUCCGAACAACGUUCGCACGGUUCGUCUUACCGCGGCUGCUGGCAC
RNAcentral lists this ribosomal RNA (292 nucleotides) under uncultured Planctomycetota bacterium. RNAcentral describes it as "uncultured planctomycete partial 16S ribosomal RNA". Lineage: Bacteria; Pseudomonadati; Planctomycetota. The record is from RNAcentral.